RNAcentral lists this ribosomal RNA (394 nucleotides) under uncultured bacterium. RNAcentral's name for it is "bacterial SSU rRNA". It matches the Rfam family "Bacterial small subunit ribosomal RNA", at positions 30 to 416 of the family's 1533-position model. The record is from RNAcentral.
CCUGAACGCUGGCGGCGUGGCUAAGACAUGCAAGUCGCACGGGCCUCGCAAGAGGUCAGUGGCGAACGGGUGAGUAAAGAAUCGCUAACGUACCCCGGACUCUGGGAUAGCUACCCGAAAGGGUGGGUAAUACCAGAUGAUAUAACUUUCCUGCAUGGGAGAGUUCUCAAAGGCCGCCGGCAACAGUGGAACGGUCUGGGAGCGGGCGAUUUCGUAUCAGCUAGUUGGUGAGGUAACGGCUCACCAAGGCGACGACGCGUAGCCGGACUGAGAGGGUUGGCCGGCCACAUUGGGACUGAGACACUGCCCAGACUCCGUACGGGGGGCUGCAGUAACGAAUCUUCCGCAAUGCACGCAAGUGUGACGGAGCGACGCCGCGUGUGGGACGAAGCCC